Small nucleolar RNA from Rattus norvegicus (Norway rat), 143 nucleotides. Ensembl annotates it as small nucleolar RNA SNORA17. The record is from Ensembl. NCBI's taxonomy places the organism in Eukaryota, Metazoa, Chordata, Mammalia, Rodentia, Muridae.
CCUGCCCCUAGAGGCAUUGCAGCUACGACUGCUGUGUCAUAUGUGUGUCAGUAGGUGGCAGAGAUGAGACAGGCUAUGUCUAUGCUCAGUGUUCGGACCUGGGAAACCCGGGGGUGCAGGUGGCAGGGAGUGAGCCUAAGACA